GGGGAUGUGGCUCAGAGGCAGAGCAUCUGCUUGGUAUGCAAAGCGUCCCAGGUUCAAUCCCUGGCAUCACCA
Non-coding RNA from Eublepharis macularius, 72 nucleotides. The record is from the annotation of a RefSeq genome assembly. NCBI's taxonomy places the organism in Eukaryota, Metazoa, Chordata, Lepidosauria, Squamata, Eublepharidae.